RNAcentral lists this ribosomal RNA (497 nucleotides) under uncultured bacterium. RNAcentral's name for it is "partial 16S ribosomal RNA". It matches the Rfam family "Bacterial small subunit ribosomal RNA", at positions 28 to 507 of the family's 1533-position model. The record is from RNAcentral.
GAUGAACGCUGGCGGCGUGCCUAAUACAUGCAAGUCGAGCGAACAGACGAGGAGCUUGCUCCUCUGACGUUAGCGGCGGACGGGUGAGUAACACGUGGAGAACCUACCUAUAAGACUGGGAUAACUUCGGGAAACCGGAGCUAAUACAGGAUAAUAUAUUAAACCGCAUGGUUCCAUAGUGAAAGACGGUUUUGCUGUCACUAAUAGAUGGAUCCGCGCCGCAUUAGCUAGUUGGUAAGGUAACGGCUUACCAAGGCAACGAUGCGUAGCCGACCUGAGAGGGUGAUCGGCCACACUGGAACUGAGACACGGUCCAGACUCCUACGGGAGGCAGCAGUAGGGAAUCUUCCGCAAUGGGCGAAAGCUUGACGGAGCAACGCCGCGUGAGUGAUGAAGGUCUUCGGAUCGUAAAACUCUGUUAUUAGGGAAGAACAAAUGUGUAAGUAACUAUGCACGUCUUGACGGUACCUAAUCAGAAAGCCACGGCUAACUACGUG